GUUGGAAGAGACUGUGAGAGAUGAGGGGAUGAGGGGAAAAGGGGCUGGCCUUGAAUAUCAGGCUAAGCGCUAUGAUCUUUUGACUCCAAACUCAAUGUAGUCUGGACUACAUUGUAGAAUGUUAAGAGUUCUGGGAUCUUAGAAGCCAUCUCGUCAAACCCCUUCCUUUUUCAGAAGAUGGAGCUGAGGCCCAGAGAGGAGAAGAGACUUACUUGCCUGAGGUCACACAGUUAAUUAAUGCUUCCUCUUGGGUCCAGCUUCUAAAGAGGCAGAGGGAUUCCUUCCGAAAUAUCCAUUUUCUGCAGAAUGACUCCUAGCAUUAUUGCCAAAUAGUCGAGCCUGUCUCCAGGGCAGCUCUGGCUUCCCAAGACCAAUCAGAGCUUUGCUUCCAGCUUUUAUGUCGUCUUUUCCCAAGCUAAUCCAUCUGGCCCCUGCCCUGGCCCUGCCAGGGCCCCAUAAAUCCCUUUCCCUGCCCUUUCGCACCUAAUCCAAGAGCUCUCCUAAGGGGAGGAGUCAUAGCUAUGCCCACUCCAUUGGCUCUGCGCAGGGCUUCUCCAGCCGUCAUGCCACUGGACAGGUAAAGUGAAGGUGGCAGACAGAUCCAUGAGCUGAGCUCAGCGACACGGGCACGUUUCUCUUUUACAACCUGAAUCUCUAAAUCACCCGUGUCUCUCGGCAAGCUGAGGAUGUGGCGAGAAGCUGUUAAUAAUAGAUACAAGUUUCUGUCUGGGAACGAAUUGCUUAAGACGGUCCCGGUGGACGUUUGUCUUUGUCACGGAGAAAACCACCGUGGAGGGGAAGAGUCUGGCCUGAAGGGGGCAGUGUCUCUCUAGUUUGGGCAGCAACCAUUGGCAAGAGGAGAGAAUUCAGAGCUGGAAGAACCCCCAGAAAAUAAUGGAGCCCACUUUCUCUUUUUACAGAGGGGGAAACAGAGGCCCAAAGGUUAGGACAGGUUUGCCCAAGGUGACACACUAAGAGGCAGAGCCAGGAUUUGUGGUAUAGUGGAAAUUGGAAAGAACGCUGGGAAAGAUCCUGCUUCGAAUCCCAGCUCUGUCGCUUGCUUUCUGGGUGUUUUGGGGACAAGUCAUUUGACUUCUCUGGAACUGGACUUGUUCAUCUGAAAAAUAAAGAAGAGACCAGUGGACUGCA
This 1149-nucleotide long non-coding RNA is filed under the name Monodelphis domestica (gray short-tailed opossum). RNAcentral describes it as "lncRNA (ENSMODG00000035704.2)". The record is from RNAcentral. Lineage: Eukaryota; Metazoa; Chordata; Mammalia; Didelphimorphia; Didelphidae.